RNAcentral lists this ribosomal RNA (301 nucleotides) under uncultured bacterium. Its description in RNAcentral is "partial 16S ribosomal RNA". It matches the Rfam family "Bacterial small subunit ribosomal RNA", at positions 509 to 807 of the family's 1533-position model. The record is from RNAcentral.
CAGUAGCCACGGUAAUACGAAGGGUGCAAGCGUUAAUCGGAAUUACUGGGCGUAAAGCGUGCGUAGGCGGUGAGUUAAGUCUGUUGUGAAAUCCCCGGGCUCAACCUGGGAAUGGCAAUGGAUACUGGCAAGCUAGAGUGUGUCAGAGGAUGGUGGAAUUCCCGGUGUAGCGGUGAAAUGCGUAGAGAUCGGGAGGAACAUCAGUGGCGAAGGCGGCCAUCUGGGACAACACUGACGGUGAGGCACGAAAGCGUGGGGAGCAAACAGGAUUAGAUACCCCCGUAGUCCCUGUCUCUUAUAC